Molecule: long non-coding RNA, 971 nt
Organism: Pseudophryne corroboree (corroboree frog)
Lineage: Eukaryota; Metazoa; Chordata; Amphibia; Anura; Myobatrachidae
Exons: 4
Source: RefSeq, a predicted model, not a curated record
CUGGUGUGGAGAGGAGUGUAAUGGCCGCCGAAGAGGAGCCAGUCUACGCAGACAGGAGGAGCAGGAAACGCUGAAGAGUGAAGACAGAAGAAGCAGUUACAGAAAAAAAGGACUUCAGAGUAAUGGGUCCAGCAGAAGAGGAGCCUACGCAGAGAGGAGGGCCAUCAACAAAAGGACUGGAAAAGCUGCAGAAAAAGGUAUUGUCGCACGGUGAAGACCUUCUCUCGCUGUCCGAUUGGAGUCAAGUGAGAAUGUCCGUAAGACUCCAGAAUGUGGGGUUAUUUUCCAGAGCUCCCAAGAAAGCAGCCCACUCUUGCAGACGCCUGUGCACAAUGACAUGAACACAGAGCAGCCAUGAUGAUAUGUGAAACCAGUGGGAAGGUGCAGAACAAAGGCAAAGAUGGUAUCUGUUGCAGCAGGAACUUAUUCAUGGCUGGUUCGGUGCAAUCGUCCUUUGUUGGGGGGAUAUUGCUUCUAUUUAUCUGUAAUGCAUGGGACUUUGGUGUUCUGUUGAAUUUAUUUACCCGCAGAGCUGCCAAGAGAUCUGUCGGAUCCCAGUAUUUGGGGAGGGGUGGGGCAUUGUCAAACGCGUGGGUGGUUGCUCUUUGCAGAAGCUGCGACAAUUUAUUUUUCAUUACUAUUCUUUUGUUAAUUUCCCUACUAUUGAUGUAAGGCUUCCAGGUCUAUAGUUAUUCAUACUUUUUCUCACCAAGUGGGACUAUAUUGGUCAUCUUCCAAUCUCAUGGGGUUACACCAGAUAGCACUGAUUGGUUAAUCUCACUGCCAGCAUUACUCUGCCUUACCAAUGGCCCAUUUUUGCCAGUGACACAGCAUUUUUUAUUUCACUCUGUACAUGAAAUACAAUAAAUAACACAGCUAUUGUCGCCAAUAACUCCCACCAGAGGUAUUUGCCUUUGCAUGGGGAAGCCAAUGUAGUUAUUGUAAUAAAUACUGUGGCGGUUCUAGUUCCA